This 975-nucleotide long non-coding RNA is filed under the name Ananas comosus (pineapple). RNAcentral describes it as "long non-coding RNA (ACOM_LNC026318)". Lineage: Eukaryota; Viridiplantae; Streptophyta; Magnoliopsida; Poales; Bromeliaceae. The record is from RNAcentral.
UUACCGAAAUCGUCGGAAUUCCUCCUAAGUCAUAGAGUUGUCAGCAUGAAGUUUCUUGUUUUGAUCAUCAUGUUUAGUAGCUCGAAUUCAUGGAUUUGCAUAUUUUAUAUGAAAUCUGAAUUUGGAGCAUAAUCUACUGAUGUUAGAUAAAUCUUAAUGCUGAAGUGAGAUUUGACUUAGAAGAAAACUCGUUAAACUUACACCUGUCAUUUUUCGAAAAGUUAAAGCUGAUUUUUCUUCGUAUCACCGCUGUUAGUGCGUCGGAGCACGUGAGUACUACACAAAUACUUUUGAAAAUUUACGAAAUGUAGCUUUUAGAUAGCUCAAGUAUGAUAGAUUAUAUUUGAUGGUGUUGGUCGUCGAUUACGAAGGCUUGAUUACUGAAAAUGAUAUGAUAACAAAAAAAUUAUUUUAUUUUUAAAAGUAUUCUAACUCAACUCUAAAAUAUAUAUACAAUUUGCAUAAUUUUGUAUUUAUAUAUGCAUAUGCUAAUUAUAUAAUAUCUUAUAUAACCCUCAAAACUUCUGAAAUAUCAUACAUAUUUCUACUUUUUCUGUUUUAAAUAUAGUCCUCGUAUAUUUCUCCGUUAUUCGAAAAUAAUCUCAUUAUUAAUGCCCGUUAAGUCAUCUCUGAUUAAACUGGGGAUAAAUUUCUACCGGAAUUAAUAGAAAGUCAAAGUAUCUUUUUUGUUCCUAACUUAAGAACACAUAAGAAAAUUUGGUGAUAAUAGAAGGGUAUAUUUGAAAAAGCAAAAAAUUAAAAUAUUUCUUUUACUCCUAAUUUAAGGAUAAAUAAGAAAAGUUGGUGACAGUAAAAUAAUAUAUUUGAAAGGCAAAAUAAUAAUUUUACAGAAAUAACGAUUAUUUUUAACGGCCCACUAACAGAAUAUAACUCUAUGAAUAUAUUUCAAAAAAAUUAAAAUGCUAAAAAAAUAUUUUUUAAUUUUAGUUUAAGUCUCAAUUUUUUGAGGGAUAU